AGAGAUUUAAGUUAAAUAAACUAAAAGCCUUCAAAGCUUUAAUUGAUAUAUAAUCAAUCUCUA
This 63-nucleotide transfer RNA is filed under the name Microcondylaea bonellii. RNAcentral describes it as "Unio bonellii tRNA-Trp". Lineage: Eukaryota; Metazoa; Mollusca; Bivalvia; Unionida; Unionidae. The record is from RNAcentral.